CAGUAAACUGAGACUGAAACAGUUUUCAAGUAUCUUUCUACAGCAUAUCAAGAGCACAGGUUGGAUA
Molecule: non-coding RNA, 67 nt
Organism: Colinus virginianus (northern bobwhite)
Lineage: Eukaryota; Metazoa; Chordata; Aves; Galliformes; Odontophoridae
Source: Rfam